This 483-nucleotide ribosomal RNA is filed under the name uncultured bacterium. RNAcentral describes it as "partial 16S ribosomal RNA". It matches the Rfam family "Bacterial small subunit ribosomal RNA", at positions 30 to 507 of the family's 1533-position model. The record is from RNAcentral.
UUGAACGCUGGCGGCAGGCCUAACACAUGCAAGUCGGGCGGAUGAAGGGAGCUUGCUCCUGGAUUCAGCGGCGGACGGGUGAGUAAUGCCUAGGAAUCUGCCUGGUAGUGGGGGAUAACGUCCGGAAACGGGCGCUAAUACCGCAUACGUCCUGAGGGAGAAAGUGGGGGAUCUUCGGACCUCACGCUAUCAGAUGAGCCUAGGUCGGAUUAGCUAGUUGGUGGGGUAAAGGCCUACCAAGGCGACGAUCCGUAACUGGUCUGAGAGGAUGAUCAGUCACACUGGAACCGAGACACGGUCCAGACUCCUACGGGAGGCAGCAGUGGGGAAUAUUGGACAAUGGGCGAAAGCCUGAUCCAGCCAUGCCGCGUGUGUGAAGAAGGUCUUCGGAUUGUAAAGCACUUUAAGUUGGGAGGAAGGGCAGUAAGUUAAUACCUUGCUGUUUUGACGUUACCAACAGAAUAAGCACCGGCUAACUUCGUG